GAAAUAGCUCAGUUGGCUAGAGUGUGGUACUGAGGAGACCAAGGUCGUGGGUUCGAUCCCCAUACGGGUCACCU
Molecule: non-coding RNA, 74 nt
Organism: Podarcis lilfordi (Lilford's wall lizard)
Lineage: Eukaryota; Metazoa; Chordata; Lepidosauria; Squamata; Lacertidae
Source: the annotation of a GenBank genome assembly